RNAcentral lists this ribosomal RNA (542 nucleotides) under uncultured Alphaproteobacteria bacterium. Its description in RNAcentral is "bacterial SSU rRNA". It matches the Rfam family "Bacterial small subunit ribosomal RNA", at positions 1 to 585 of the family's 1533-position model. The record is from RNAcentral. Lineage: Bacteria; Pseudomonadati; Pseudomonadota; Alphaproteobacteria.
UGAGUUUGAUCCUGGCUCAGAACGAACGCUGGCGGCAUGCCUAACACAUGCAAGUCGAACGAGAACGCCCCUUCGGGGGUUAGUAGAGUGGCGCACGGGUGAGUAACGCGUGGGAACCUGCCAAGCAGUGGGGAAUAACCUUUGGAAACGAAGGCUAAUACCGCAUACGCCCUUUUGGGGAAAGAUUUAUCGCUGUUUGAUGGUCCCGCGUCCAAUUAGCUAGUUGGUAAGGUAACGGCUUACCAAGGCGACGAUUGGUAGCUGGUCUGAGAGGAUGAUCAGCCACACUGGGACUGAGACACGGCCCAGACUCCUACGGGAGGCAGCAGUGGGGAAUAUUGGACAAUGGGGGCAACCCUGAUCCAGCAAUGCCGCGUGAGUGAAGAAGGCCCUAGGGUUGUAAAGCUCUUUCAGUCGUGAAGAUGAUGACGGUAACGACAGAAGAAGCACCGGCUAACUUCGUGCCAGCAGCCGCGGUAAUACGAAGGGUGCUAGCGUUGUUCGGAAUUACUGGGCGUAAAGCGCGCGUAGGCGGAUGGAUU